Molecule: ribosomal RNA, 190 nt
Filed under: Protocruzia adhaerens
Lineage: Eukaryota; Ciliophora; Spirotrichea
Description: Protocruzia adherens partial Bacterial small subunit ribosomal RNA
Rfam family: Bacterial small subunit ribosomal RNA
Source: RNAcentral
GGGGAGUGGCAGACGGGUGAGUAACGCGUGGGAAUCUGCCCUUAGGUGGGGGAUAGCCCGGGGAAACUCGGAUUAAUACCGCAUAACAUCUACGGAUCAAAGGUGGCCUCUUCUUGAAAGCUAUCGCCGAAGGAUGAGCCCGCGUUAGAUUAGCUUGUUGGUGAGGUAAAGGCUCACCAAGGCGACGAUC